Molecule: small nuclear RNA, 312 nt
Filed under: Marmota marmota marmota (Alpine marmot)
Lineage: Eukaryota; Metazoa; Chordata; Mammalia; Rodentia; Sciuridae
Also listed under: 1 other name
Description: 7SK RNA (ENSMMMG00000004595.1)
Rfam family: 7SK RNA
About the family: 7SK was discovered as an abundant small nuclear RNA in the mid-70s but a possible function has only recently been suggested. Two independent studies have found that 7SK RNA binds the CDK9/cyclin T complex (known as elongation factor P-TEFb).
Source: Rfam by way of RNAcentral
GGAUGUGUGGGUACUCAACCUGUGCCAUCUGUCACUCAUUGAUUGCAUGACUUUAUUCAGCUAAUAUGGCUGGCUAGGUAUGUGUCCCCUUUAUCCCUUGCUGCUCAAUUAGUGUCCCUCCCUGAAGCCGCACCCUGUAUCCAAGAGGGCUAUCUUCCCAAAUAGAGUAGAACUGGUCUUCUGUCAAGGGUAUAAAGGUGACUGCACUCCUGUGCUAGAAACUCCAAACAAGCUCUCAAAGAGAAAUCCCAUUAGGUAGAACCUGUUUGAGAUGUGUGUUGCCACUCUACAGAAAGUGGGCAGUGUUUCAUU